This 21803-nucleotide long non-coding RNA is filed under the name Triticum aestivum (bread wheat). RNAcentral describes it as "long non-coding RNA (TAES_LNC020607)". Lineage: Eukaryota; Viridiplantae; Streptophyta; Magnoliopsida; Poales; Poaceae. The record is from RNAcentral.
ACUUCGGGCCCCGGGAAACAUCAUCCGGAAUAGCCCUACAUGCUGUUUGUGGCUAGGUCUCAUUAUCAUUACGAGGGAGUCGCCAUAAACCGGCUCUCCUAGUUAUGUCUAUGUAACACCCAUGAUGCGGCUAUAUGUCCCACGUGUCGGAGCACGAUUUAGAGGCAUAACUGCAUUGUAGGCAUGUCGCAAGAGGGGUAAUCUUUACACAUCCCAUGUACUCAAUAAGAAAGAGGUACAGAGUUGGCUUACAAUCGCCACUUCACACAAUACAUAAGUAUAGCAUUACAUCAUCCAGAUACAAUCAAGGGCCGACUACAGAACCAAAAUAAAGACAACGCCAAAUGCAUAAGAUCCCUGAUUGCCCCAACUGGGCUCCACUACUGAUCGUCUGGAAAGGAAACAUAGUAACGUCCUGAGUCCUCGUCGAACACCCACUUGAGUUCAGUCGCAUCCCCAGGAAUGGCAUCAUCGACACCUGCAUCUGGUUUUGGAAGUAAUCUGUGAGUCACGGGGACUCAACAAUCUCACACCCUCGUGAUCAAGACUAUUUAAGCUUAUGGGUAGGCAAAGGUUGUGAGGUGGAGCUGCAGCAAGCACUAACAUAUAUGGUGGCUAACUUACGCAAAUGAGAGCAAGAAGAGAAGGCAAAGCACGUUCAAGUAUACAUGAUCAAGAAGUUAUCCUAGAACUACUUACGUUCAAGCAUAACACGAGACCAUGUUCUCUUCUCGAACUCCGCCGAAAAGAGACCAUCAUGGCUACACACGCUGUUGAUUCAUUUUAAUUAAGUUGAGUUUCAGGUUUUCUACAACCUGAUAUUAACAAAUUCCCAUCUGCCCAUAACCACGGGCACGGCUUUCAAAAGUUCAAAACCCUGCAGGGGUGUCCCAACUUAGCCCAUCACAAGCUCUCAUGGUCAACGAAGGAUAUUCCUUCUCCCAGGACGAUCCGAUCAGACUCAGAAUCCCGGUUACAAGACAUUUCGACCAUGGUAAAACAAGACCAGCAAAGCCAUCCGAAUGUGCCGACAAAUCCCGAUAGGAGCUGCACAUAUCUCGUUCUUAGGGCACACCGGAUGGGCAAGACGUCGGGUUGGCAUAGACCCUGGUUGCCCAGGGGGCGCCGGACAUCGCCCAGUUUGGACCAACACUUAGAGAAGCACUGGCCCGGGGGGUUUAAAUAAAGAUGACCCUUGAGUCCGCGAAACCCAAGGGAAAAAGGCUAGGUGACAAAUGGUAAAACCAAGGUUGGGCCUUGCUGGAGGAGUUUUAUUCAAGGAGAACUGUCAAGGGGUUCCUAUUAUAACCCAACCGCGUAAGGAACGCAAAAUCAAGGAACAUAACACCAGUAUGACGGAAACUAGGGCGGCAAGGGUGGAACAAAACACCAGGCAUAAGGCCGAGCCUUCCACCCUUUACCAAGUAUAUAGGUGCAUUAAAGUAAACAAGAUAUAAUAAUGAUAUCCCAACAAUAAUCAUGUUCCAACAAGGAACAAACUUCAAUCUUCACCUGCAACUAGCAACGCUAUAAGAGGGGCUGAGCAAAGCGGUAACAUAGCCAAAAAACGGUUUGCUAGGACAAGAUGGGUUAGAGGUUUGACAUGGCAAUAUGGGAGGCAUGAUAUAGCAAGUGGUAGGUAUCACGGCAUAGGCAUAGCAAUAAGGCAAGCAACUAGCAAGCAAAGAUAGAAGUGAUUUCGAGGGUAUGGUCAUCUUGCCUGCAAAGUUCUCCGAGUUGACGUAAGCUUGAUCCUCGUAACCGUACUCAACGGGUUCCUCGAUCACGUACUCGUCUCCCGGCUCUACCCAAAGCAAGAACACAAGCAAAGGGAACCACAAUCAACCACGGUGUAAUGCGCAAGCAACAUGAUGCAAAAUAUGUCAUGAUAUGCGGGAUGUAAAAUGCAAUGCAUAUGCGUGCUCCCGAAGGAAAAGAUUGAACCAGGCCUCAACUUGGCAAACCAAGAGCGCUGCUGGAAAGAUGAGUUGAUUUCGGUCGAAAUCGAUAUAAAGAUCACCGGAAUCGGAUGCACGGUUUGCAAAUGGCAAGCAAAACAAUAAUGGCACAAUUCUGCGAUUAACAGCACGAUGCCAUCUAGAAUGCAACAAGAAAUUAAGCUACUGCACUCUAACAUAGCAGCAAAGCACAUGGCAGUGAUCCACUCAAGAUGCUUGACAAAAGAUGAACACUAAGCUAUGGCUAAAUCACACAAUAGCAGGUUCAAAGAAGCAUGGCAAAAGUGCAAAAGAUAACAGCAUCACAGACUUAGUGGAAAUAACAACAUGACAUGAUUUAACAUCAGGAAGCAAUGUUUAGAGAAAGAUAACGACAUGCUACAGAAACAUAUCAUGGCAAAGCAAGGCCUGGAAUGAAACUACUCAAAGCAUAUAAGAAAAGUCCCUUACUGACCAUAAGCCAAAAAGGAUAAGAAAAUAUGAUGGUACCCAUGUAAACAUAGCAAGUUUCAUUAACAGAUUCAGACUUAGCAGAAAACUGGACAUGGCAAAAACAGAGUUACGUAGGCAUGUUUGCGAGCUCGAUGCACUCACCGCAAGGCAUUGCAUGACAAACUAAGCAUACACCCAGCAUAAAGACAUGAUCAAGAAGCUAAACAUGGCAAGAACAACCUAAUAGCAUGCAUGGAUCAACUACAACAACCUUCGCAAAAUUGAAUAACAUGUAAAUAAUCUGCCAGGAACAUUUUAUAGCAAAAGUAGAGCAAGAUUGAGCUAUGCUAGGGUACUCCAUAAUUGCAAACAAAGACAUGGAUGGAUAGAACAUAACAACACCUCAAAAUAAUCCUUACUGAACAUGCUCAAAAGAGGCAUGGAUCACUCUGUAGCACCAUGAAUACGUGCCAUAAAAAUAACAUCAGGGAAAUGACUUGGAAGAAUUCUAAGUCCCUGAAAUCAGCAACAUCACGAGAGCUACUUUGCAUGCUUGUGCUAGUCACCACAUUGAUCACAAAAAUACAUGGCAUACACCCAUAUAAAGAUGGCAUGGCAUAGCCCAAAACACAUGUAGGGCUCAACUUCAUAGGAGGCACACAAUAAUCAUGGCAAAAAUGACAAAUGUCCAUAAUCUGUGAAGAAAUAGAAACUAACAUUAUAUAGCACUCUUGCAAUAGCAUUUUAGCCAUCAAAAUGGACUCAAACUAGCAUGGUGCAAUGGAACAAAAUGAAGAGCACAUCCAGACGAACAAUUUGAUAUAUGGCACGCCCAAAAUGGAGCUACAGAUGCAAAGAUAUGGCAUGAUGAAUGAAGCAUAAAAAUAACCAGAAAAGGGAACUUAGGAAAAUUCAUGUCGCGAAAAAACGGGACGGAGAGAAGCGGGAUGAGGUGUAACACCCCGGAUGUAAUUUACCUUAUACCUAUCCCAACUCUUGCCGUUUCCGGCACUAAGUUAUUCUAUUUCCUCGUUGUCGGGUUUUUGUCUCCGUGUGUUGUUGUCUUUGUCAUGCAUCUCAUAUCAUGUCAUCAUGUGCAUUGCAUUUGCAUACGUGUUCGUCUCAUGCAUCCAAGUAUUUUCCCCGUUGUCCAUUUUGCAUUCCGGCGCUCCUAUGUCCUCCGGUGGUCCUUUCUACCUCUUUUCGUGUGAGGGUAUUAAACGUUUUCGGAUUGGACCGAGACUAGUCAUGCGGCCUUGGUUUACUACCGAUAGACCGCCUGUCAAGUUUCGUACCAUUUGGACUUCGUUUGAUACUCCAACGGUCAACCGAGGGACCGAAAAGGCCUCGUGUGUGUUGCAGCCCAACACCCUUACAAACUGGCCCAAAACCCACCUAAACCUGUUCAAUCAUCUAGAGCGUUCGAUCACGAUCGUGUGGCCACAAACCGCACCUCAUUUGGAGCUUCCUAGCCUCCUCUACCUCUAUAUAAAGGACACCCCCUAAAAAUUCACGGUUCAUUCCCCCCUAACCCUAGUCCAUUAGCACCUCCGCCGUCGGACAAUGACCCCCGCCUAGCGGACAUCAUCGCCGCCGCCAACCGCGACCUGCCACCUGUCGCCCGCCUCCUCUCACUCUGUCGUGGCCCGCAAGGCCCGCCGCGGGCCCUCCCCGGCCCAAGGUGCGCGCCGCCGCCUCCUCUCACCGAGCCGCCCCGCUCCUCCACCGGGCGCCACCUCGUCGCCGCAGUUUUCCCGCGCCGGCCACCGCCCACCGGCGCCCUCAACCUUGCCGGCGCCCCGCCGUCUGCCGCCUCCGCCGCGCCGGGCCUCCACCUCGCCACCCGGAGCUCCUCCACAACGCCCCGGCGAGCUCCACACCGGAUCCGGCCGGCUCCUCCUCCACUUGGCAAGUCCGGCAACCCUCCGGCAAGUUCUUUGAUUCCGGCGAUGAACCUCGGGGUCCGCGCCCGCCAGAUCUCAGAUCUGGAAAUAUCUUCUCGGUUGACUUUUUCCCUCAGCAACCCUAGAUUUUUGCAUUUUUUGCAUGCCAUAACUUUGCAUCCGUAGCUCCGAUUCAUGCGUGUAGCAUAUCAAAUUGUUUGUCUCGGCGAGUACAUCCUUUCAUCUCAUUGCAUCAAUUUCAUUUGAGCUCAUCUUGCUGCCCGAAAUGCUGUUGGAAGAGGGCUAUAUGAUGAAUUUAUCAGAUCUGUUUCAGCAAAUGGCCUUUUGUCAUUUUUGCCAUGGUUAAUGUGUGCAUGCUAUGAUCCUGAGCUCUACAUGUGUUUUGUAGAAUGCCAUGCCAUCUUUACAGGGGUAUAUGCCAUGUAUUUUUGUGAUCUAUGUGGUGACUAGCACAAGCAUGCAAAGUAGCGUAAUCCUUGAUGUUGAUUUCAGGGACUUAGAAUUUCACCAAGUCCUUGUCCUGUUUUUGUUUUUAUGCCAUAUGUUCAUGUUGUUUCCUAGUGAUACGUGCCUCUUUUGAGGAUGAUCAGUAAGAAUGUUUCGUUAAUAUUGUGGUGCUCUAUCCAUCCAUGCCUUUGUUUGCAAUUAUGGAGCACCCUAGCUUGAGUCAAUCGAGCUCUACUUUUGCUAGAAAAUGUUCCUGGCAGAUUGUUGACAUGUUUAGCGAUUUUGCCGAGGAUGUUGCUAUUGAUCCGUGCAUGCUAUGUUGUUGUUCUUGCCAUGACUAGAUUCUAUGCCAUGUCUUCUUGAUGGGUUUAUGCUUAGUUUGUCAUGCCAUGCUCUGUAGUGAGUGCAUCGAGCUCGUAAACAUGCCUACUCGUUAACUGUUUUGCAUGCUCCAGUUUUUCACUAAGUCUGAAUCUGUUUAUGUUUUUGCUAUGUUCACAUGCUUGCAAAUGUAUUUUCUGAUCCCUUUUGGCUCAAGGUAACUAAGGGACUUUUGUUAUAUGCUUAGAGUAGCUUCAUGCCAUGCCUUGCUUUGCCAUGAUAUGUUCCUGUAGCAUGUAGUUUUCAUGCUCUAAAGAUUGCUUCCUGGUGAUAAAUUCCAGACUUGUGUUAAUUUCACUAAGUCUGAAACCUGUUAUCAUUUGCACUUUUGCCAUGCUUGUUUGAACCUGUUAAUGGAUGAAUUAGCCAUAGCUUAGUGUUCAUCUUUUGUCAAUCAUCAUGAGUGGAUCCCUGCCAUGUAUUGUGUUGUCAUGUUUGAGUGUUGUAGCAUAUUUAUCUUGAUGCAUUUAGAUGGCUACUUGAUGUUUAUCGCAGAUCGGUGCCAUAUUUGUUUCGCUUGCCAUUUCCAAACCGUGCAUCCGAUUCCGGUGAUCUUUAUAUCGAUUUCAACCGAAAUCACCUCACCUUUCCAGUGGCACUCUUGGAUUUCCAAGUUGAGGCCAGGUUCAAUCAUUCCUUUGCAAAUCUUGCAUAUGCAUCACAUAUCGCAUCCCGCAUAGCAUACCAUGUUUGCAUCAUGUUGCUUGAGCAUUGCACGUUGUUGAUUGUGAUACUUUUGCUUGUUGUUCUUGUUUGGGUAGAGCAGGGAGACGAGUUCGUGAACGGGGAGCCCGUUGAGUUCUCUUACGAGGAUCAAGGCAACUCUGAGUAUUUUGCAGGCAAGAUGACCAUACCCUCGAAAUCACUUCUAUCUUUUCUUGCUAGAUGCUCGCUCUUUUGCUAUGCCUAUGCUACGAUACCUACUACUUGCUGAUCAUGCCUCCCAAAUUUUCAUGUCAAACCUCUAACCCACCAUGUCCUAGCAAACCGUUGUUUGGCUAUGUUACCGCUUUGCUCAGCCCCUCUUAUAGCGUUGCUAGUUGCAGGUGAAGAUUGGAGAUAGUUCCUUUUUGGAACAUGUUUAUUGUUAGGAUAUCACCAUAUUAUCUUGUUAUCUUAAUGCAUCUAUAUACUUGGUAAAGGGUGGAAGGCUCGGCCAUAUGCCUAGUGUUUUGUUCCACUCUUGCCUCCCUAGUUUCCGUCAUAUCGGUGUUAUGUUCCCGGAUUUUGCGUUCCUUCCACGGUUGGGUUAUAAUGGGAACCCCUUGACAGUUCGCUUUGAAUAAAACUCCUCCAGCAAUGCCCAACCUUGGUUUUACCAUUUGCCACCUAGCCUCUUUUUCCCUUGGGUUUCCGGAGCCCAAGGGUCAUCUUUAUUUAACNNNNNNNNNNNNNNNNNNNNNNNNNNNNNNNNNNNNNNNNNNNNNNNNNNNNNNNNNNNNNNNNNNNNNNNNNNNNNNNNNNNNNNNNNNNNNNNNNNNNNNNNNNNNNNNNNNNNNNNNNNNNNNNNNNNNNNNNNNNNNNNNNNNNNNNNNNNNNNNNNNNNNNNNNNNNNNNNNNNNNNNNNNNNNNNCCCGGGCCAGUGCUCCUCUGAGUGUUGGUCCACCUCGUCAGCCGCCGGUGGCCACCAGGGGCAACUCUGGGCUGGCCUACCGGAAGUCUGGACAAUCUGAAUGUGCCCUGAGAACGAGAUUUGUGCAGCUCCUAUCGGGAUUUGUCGGCACAUUCGGGCGGUGUUGCUGGACUUGUUUUACCAUUGUCGAGGAUGUCUUGUAACCGGGAUGCCGAGUCUGAUCGGAAUGUCUCGGGAGAAGGAAUAUCCUUCAUUGACCGUGAGAGCUUGUGAUGGGCUAAGUUGGGACUCCCCUGCAGGGAUUUGAACUUUCGAAAGCCGUGCUCGCGGUUAUGGGCAGAUGGGAAUUUGUUAAUGUCAGGUUGUAGAUAACAUGAAACUUAACUUAAUUAAAAUACACCAACCGCGUGUGUUACCGUGAUGGUCUUUUCUCGGCGGAGUCCGGGAAGUGAACACAGUGUUGGAGUAAUGCUUGACGUAGGUUGUUCUAGGAUCACUUCUUGAUCAUAGUUGUUCGACCGUGCUUUUGCCUUCUCUUCUCGCUCUCUUUUGCGCAUAUGUUAGCCACCAUAUAUGCUAGUCGCUUGCUGCAGCUCCACAUCAUACCUUGCCUUACCUAUAAGCUUAAAUAGUCUUGAUCGCGAGGGUGCGAGAUUGCUGAGUCCCCGUGACUCACAGAUUCCUUCCUAAACCAGAUGCAGGGACCGAUGAUACCGCUCCAGACGAUGCGCUUAAGCUCAAGUGGGAGUUCGAUGAAGACUCUCGUCGUUGCUAUGUGUCUUUCCCAGAUGAUCAGUAGUGGUACCCAGUUGGGGCGAUCAGGGACUUUGUCGCAUUUGGGGGUUGAUCUUUAUUUUGGUACCAUAGUCGGACCAUGAGUGUAUUGGAUGAAUGUAAUGUUAUUCAUGUAUUUCUGUGACAUGGCGAGUGUAAGCCAACUAUGUAUCUUUCCCCCUUUAAUUAUUUACAUGGGUUGUUGUGAAGAUUACCUCACUUGCGACAUUGCUUUCAAUGCAGUUAUGCCUCUAAGUCGUGCUUCGACACGUAGGAGAUAUAGCCGCAUCGAGGGUGUUACAAGUUGGUAAUCAGAGCCUUCCCCGACCUUAGGAGCCCCCUGCUUGAUCGAAUCGUUGGCGUUGUUGAGUCUAGAAAAAUGUUUUGAGUCAUUUAGGAAUUAUAUAUAUCGGAGAGUUAGGAAUUCUUUUUACUCCGCAGUCCCUUCGUCGUUCUGGUGAGGCAUCCUGACGUAGAGUUUUGACUCUUCUCUUCUCAAAUUUCACUAAAAAAAAUUAGGAUCACGCGGGUAUCUUGGAAUCGUUCCGAUGGUUUUGUGACGAGAACAUUGUUCUUGGUGCCUCCUGACAUUUAGGGGUUGUGGCAGUGUCCCGGGGAGUUGAGCUCCGAGGUGUUGUCGUCACAAUUUUAUCGUGCAGAUUCUGGAGUACCUGAGUUUUUGCCGACAUCGAAAAUCUCUUUUAUGCAGUUGUUGGUGAGACAACCUCGACGCCACCCAGUACUGGGGCGGGAGUUCGGGAGUAUUGCCAUAACUUGUAUAAUGGAUGCUUUUCGAAGGUUGAGGUAAAUGAUUUCCAAAGUUUUCUUGCUUAUGUGUUGAAGGAUGGAUACAGCUGGAUGUAGGAUUUGCUAGCUUUGGGUGAUAUAUUAUGCUUCCCCUGUAUCCCCAACACCUGAUUGCAUAACCGAGAAGGUUCGGGAGUUUCAUAGGUGGGAAUUCUUGUAGCUCUAGUUCUUCUUCCGCGGAUAUUUGGUUUGGGAUUGGGUAAUCCUCACCAAGUAUUUGUUCUUGUCCGUACCUUGUUUUUAUUCUUCUACCUCAAUUCUAAGUGGCUUCUCAAUUUAUGGAAAUGUGACCAUUUCAAUUGGAAUGCAUUCAUUCAUUUUGUUUGGAUGUGAAGACUUUAUGUUGCAAUUUCAAACCUUUUGAUUCAGCUUCAUUUUUGCAUGCCAAUGUGCUGAUGGAUGUCACCCUCUUCAGGAUGGCUCCUGCUAAGGGCAACAAUCAGAAUCAGGAUCCGCCACCACCACCUCCACCUCCGGAGGCAUGGCAAGUUGUGAUGGCCGCUACCAAUGCAAACACGCAGCUGAUCAUGCAAAUUCAUCAAGAGCGCAACCAAGGGAAUCAUGGCCAUGCCAACAAUCAGAAUUAGUUUGCUACACUCAACCAGUUCCUUGCUAACCAGCCAAAGACCUUCAGCAAUUGUGUUGAGGCAACAGGCGCUAAUGAUUGGCUCGUGGACAUAUGCAAGCAUUUUGAGUGCAGUAACGUCAGGCCUGAGGACUUUGUCAAGUUUGCCUCCAUCCAACUCAAAGACCAAGCUGCAGAAUGGUUUCAGCAGUACAAAGAUUCCAGAGGAGGCCGUGCAAUUACCUAGGAUGAAUUUCGUCAACACUUCAAAGCUCAUCAUAUUCCUCAGAGUGUGGUUGAAAGCAAGCGUGAGGAAUUCCGCAACCUGAAGCAAGGCACUAUGUAUGUUUACCAGUACAACAUCAUGUUUCAGAAGCUCGCCCAUUUUGCUAAGUGAGACGUCCCUGACGAGAAGAGCAUGAUAUACCAGUUCAGGGGUGGUCUCAGAGAAGAACUCCAGCUAGCUCUCGUCCUUUUUGAGCCCAAGAAGUACGAUGAGUUUUACAACAUGGCAAUGAAGCAAGAGGCUGCCCAACUGAAGUGCGAUGCUUCCAAGAAGCGAGUCAGAGAUGCAACUCCUUCUUCCUCAACUCAAGUGGCUAAGCAGCAAAAGUACUGGCUUCCUCCUCCUCCGUUCCGUCAGCCUUAUCAGCAGAAGAGCAAAGGUGGCAAUGGAUCUUUCCACCUACCCAACCCUGGAUUUCAGAACAAGAGUUCGUCUCAAGCUCCAAGAUCAAGUGCUCCGUGUCACCGUCCGCUCUCGGAGGUCACGUGCAACAAGUGCCAACAGAAGGGUCACUAUGCCAACAAAUGCUUCGAUCAGAGGCGUCUUCCUCCUCCUCCCCCUGUGAGAUCUGCAAGUACAGCUGUGGUCAAGCAUAACCCCAAGCACGCCAAUGUCAACUUAAUGAAUGCAGCUCAGGCAGAGGACUCGUCAGAUGUCAUCAUGGGUAACCUUCCUGUUAACGAUGUUCCUGCAAAAGUACUUUUUGACACUGGUGUAUCGCAUUGUUUCAUCUCGAGACCUUUUGCAUCUAAGCAUGAGUUGUCUUCUCAAGUUUUGCAUAAACCAUUAGCAGUUGUCUCACCGGGUAAAUGUUUGCUCGCAAACUACGAGGUUUCGGAUAUUUCUAUCAUGAUGGGUGACUUCAAGUUUCUGGCUUCUCCAAUGGUCCUUGGUAACUCGGAUAUCGAUCUUAUUCUUGGAAUGGAUUGGCUUACUAAGCACAAGGCUCAGCUUGAUUGUGCCGCCAGGCAGAUUCAAUUGACUCAUUCAUCUAAGAAUGUAAUUGUCUUUGCCGCUCGGGAUAAUACAAUCCGUCUAUUUUCUCUCAAUGAGAAGGGCGAGCUAGAUGCCAUCUCUCAAAUUCCAGUCAUUUGCGAAUAUCAAGAUGUCUUUCCAGAAGAGCUUCUAGGAAUGCCUCCGCACCGGCCAGUUGAAUUCGUCAUCGAUCUUGAGCCUGGCACGGAACCUGUUUGCAAACAUCCUUACAAGCUUGGACCUAAAGAGUUGAAGGAGCUGAAGAAGCAACUCGAUAUUCAAGAGCGAAUGGGUCUCAUCCGACCUAGUUCUUCUUCGUGGGGUUGUGGAGAUAUUUUUGUGAAGAAGAAGAAGAAGGAUGGAACGGAUUGACUUUUUGUUGACUACUGUCCAUUGAACAAGAAGACUAUAAAGAACAAGUACCCACUUCCCAACAUCAAUGAGUUGUUUGAACAACUCAAAGGUGCUCAAGUAUUCUCCAAGCUUGAUCUCCGUAUGGGCUAUCACCAGAUUCGCAUUCGUGAGCAAGAUAUCCCCAAGACAACCUUCAGAACAAGCUAUGGUUCAUAUGAAUAUACUGUCAUGUCUUUUGGCCUCGUCAACGCUCCUCUGACUUUCUCUCGCAUGAUGAAUUUCAUCUUCAACCCCUACACAAAUGACUUCGUCUUGGUCUACCUCGAUGACAUUUUGGUCUUUUCCAAGAACAAGGAAGAUCAUGCUAGGCACUUGCGUUUGGUGCUGGAUAAGCUCAGAGAACAUCAGUUCUACGCCAAGUUUUCAAAGUGCGAGUUUUGGCUCGAUGAGGUUCUUUACCUUGGGCAUAUCAUUUCUGCCAAGAGCAUAGCGGUGAAUCCUGAGAAGGUGUCUGCAAUUGUGAAUUGGAAACCACCUCAGAACGUGAAGCAACUCCGCAGCUUCCUUGGUCUCGCAAGCUAUUGUCGAAGGUUCGUUGAGAACUUUUCAAAGAUCGCGAAGCCUCUUUCCAACCUUCUCUAGAAGCAUGUGAAGUACGUUUGGUCUCCUGAAUGUGACAUCGCUUUCAACACCCUAAAAGAGAAAUUAGUCACUGCUCCAGUUCUGACUCCUCCUGAUGAAUCCAAACCGUUUGAGGUCUUUUGUGAUGGCUCUCUUCAAGGUCUUGGUGCAGUGUUGAUGCAAGAGAAGAAAGUUGUGGCUUAAACCUCUCGCCAGUUGAAGCCCAAUGAAAAGAACUACCCCACUCAUGACCUUGAGUUGGCGGCAGUUGUGCAUGCUCUUUUAACUUGGAGACAUCUCUUAUUGGGAAGAAAAGUGGACAUCUUCACUGACCACAAGAGUCUCAAGUACAUCUUCACUCAGCCUAAUCUCAACCUCAGGCAGACUCGUUGGGUCGAAAUGAUUCAAGAGUAUAACCCGAGUAUCGCAUAUACUCCAGGCAAGGCCAAUGUAAUUGCUGACGCAUUGAGCAGGAAGGCUUACUGCAACAGUUUGAUUCUCAAGCCUUACCAACCCGAGCUGUGUGAAGCUUUCCGCAAACUCAAUCUGCAAGUUGUUCCUCAAGGUUUCCUCGCCAACCUCCAAGUUUCUCGUACUUUGGAAGAUCAAAUUCGCGAGGCUCAACUUCUUGAUGCUAUGGUGAAGAAGGUGAAGAUUGGUAUUGCCAAGAGUCAACCUAAGUACAAGUGAUAUUGCCGUGAUGACAAGGAUACUCUAUUCUUCGAGGAUCGCAUUGUUGUGCCUAAAGGUGACCUUCGUAAAGUCAUUAUGAACGAGGCUCACAAUUCUCUCCUCUCCAUCCACCCUGGUAGUACAAAGAUGUACCAUGACCUCAAGCAGUCGUAUUGGUGGACUCGAAUGAAGCGCGAAUUGCUCAGUUCGUGAAUGAAUGUGAUGUCUGCAGAAGAGUGAAGGAAGAACACCAACGACCAGGUGGUCUCCUCCAACCUCUUUCCAUUCUAGAAUGGAAGUUUGACCACAUUGAGAUGGACUUCGUGACUGGAUUUCCAAAGUCCAAGCGUGGCAAUGAUGCUAUCUUCGUUGUCAUCGACAAACUCACUAAAGUGGCACAUUUCCUUCCUAUCAAAGAGUCUAUCACUGCAGCUCAAUUGGCGGAGCUUUAUACCUCUCGGAUUCUCUCUCUACACGGCAUUCCGCAGUUGAUUUCUUCAGAUUGUGGCAGCAUCUUCACCUUGAAGUUUUGGGAUUCUUUUCAGAAGGCCAUGGGCGCCAACAUCCAUUUCAGCACAGCUUUCCAUCCUCAAACUAGUGGCCAAGUCGAGCGUGUCAAUCAGAUUCUUGAAGAUAUGCUCAGGGCUUGCGUUAUCUCUUUAGGUAUGAAGUGGGAAGAUUGUCUUCCAUAUGCCGAGUUUUCCUACAACAACAGCUUUCAAGCGAGUUCGGGCAAGGCCCCAUUUGAAAUUCUCUAUGGCAGGAAGUGUCGUACUCCUCUCAACUGGUAAGAGACUGGUGAACGUCAACUUCUUGGCAAUGACUUGAUCACAGAGGCAGAACAGAUGUGCAAAGUCAUUCGUGAUAACCUCAAAGCUGCGCAAUCGCGCCAGAAGAGCUACUAUGAUAGUAAGCAUCGUGAUUUGGCUUUCGAGAUCGGAGACCAUGUUUACCUCCGCGUCUCUCCAAUGAAAGGUACUCGUCGAUUCGGUAUCAAAGGGAAGCUUGCCCCUAGAUACGUGGGUCCUUUCAAGAUCGUCAGCAAGAGAGGCGAUCUCGCCUAUCAACUUGAGCUUCCCCCCAACUUUGCAAGCGUGCAAUACGUGUUCCAUGUCUCUCAGCUCCGCAAGUGCAUCAAGGCCCCUGACCGCAUCGUCAACUUUGAAGACAUUGAUCUCCAAGAAGACCUUUCUUAUCGUGAGCACCCCGUUGCUAUCCUUGAAGAAGCUGAGCGCAAGACUCGCAACAAGUCAAUCAAAUUCCUCAAAGUCAAGUGGUCACAUCAUCCCGACCGUGAAGCCACCUGGGAACGCGAGGAUCACCUCCGUUCUGAGUACCCGGAGUUUUUCCAGUCCUAGAUCUCGGGAUGAGAUCCUUUCAUAGUAGUGGAGUGUUGUAACACCCUGGAUGUAAUUUACCUUAUAUGUAUCCCAACUCUUGUCAUUUCCGGCACUAAGUUAUUCUAUUUCCUCGUUGUCAGGUUUUUGUCUCCGUGUGUUGUUGUCUUUGUCAUGCGUCUCAUAUCAUGUCAUCAUGUGCAUUGCAUUUGCAUACGUGUUUGUCUCAUGCAUCCGAGCAUUUUCCCCGUUGUCCGUUUUGCAUUCCGGCGCUCCUAUGUCCUCCGGUGGUCCUUUCUACCUCUUUUCAUGUGCGGGCGUUAAACGUUUUCGGAUUGGACCGAGACUUGUCAUGCGGCCUUGGUUUACUACCGGUAGACCACCUGUCAAGUUCCGUACCAUUUGGACUUCGUUUGAUACUCCAACGGUUAACCGAGGGACCGAAAAGGCCUCGUGCCCAACACCCUUCCAAACUGGCCCAAAACGCACCUAAACCUGUUCCAUCAUCUAGAGCGUUCGAUCACGAUCGUGUGGCCGCAAACCGCACCUCAUUUGGAGAUUCCUAGCCUCCUCUACCUCUAUAUAUAGGGCACCCCCUAAAAAUUCGCGGCUCAUUCUCCCCCUAACCCUAGUCCAUCAGCACCUCCGCCGCCGGACAAUGUCCGCCGCCUAGCGGACAUCAUCGCCGCCACCAACCGCGACCAGCCACCUGUCGCCCGCCUCCUCUCACUCCGCCGCGGCCCGCAAGGCCCGCCGCAGGCCCUCCCAGGCCCAAGGCGCGCGCCCCCGCCUCCUCUCGCCGAGCCGCCCCGCUCCUACACCGGGCGUCGCCACGCCGCCGUAGUUUUCCCGUGCCGGCCACCGCCCGCCGGCACCGCCAACCUCGUCGGUGCCCCGCCGUCUGCCGCCUCCGCCGCGCCGGGUCUCCACCUCGCCGCCCGGAGCUCCUCCACGACGCCCCGGCGAGCUCCACCACCGGAUCCGGCCGCCUCCUCCUCCACUCGGCAAGUUCGGCGACCCUCUGGCGAGUUCUUCGAUUAUGGCGACGAACCUCGGGAUCCGCGCCCGCCAGAUCUCAGAUCUGGAAAUAUCUUCUCGGUUGACUUUUUCCCUCAGCAACCCUACAUUUUUGCAUUUUUCCGCAUGCCAUAACUAUGCAUCCGUAGCUCCGAUUCAUGCGUGUAGCAUAUCAAAAUGUUCGACUCGACGAGUACAUUAUUUCAUCUCCUUGCAUCAUUUUCAUUUGAGCUCAUCUUGAUGCCCAAAAUGCUGUUGGAAGAGGGAUAUAUGAUGAAUUUGUCAGAUCUCUUUCGGCAAAUGGCCUUUUGUCAUUUUUGCCAUGAUUAAUGUGUGCAUGCUAUGAUCCUGAGCUCUACAUGUGUUUUGUAGAAUGCCAUGCCAUCUUUACAGGGGUAUAUGCCAUGUAUUUUUGUGAUCUAUGUGGUGACAAGCACAAGCAUGCAAAGUAGCGUAAUCGUUGAUGCUGAUUUCAGGGACUUAGAAUUUCACUAAGUCCUUGUCCUGUUUUUGUUUUUAUGCCAUAUGUUCAUGUUGUUUCCUAGUGAUUGUGCCUCUUUUGAGGAUGAUCAGUAAGGAUGUUUCGUUAAUAUUGUGGUGCUCUAUCCAUCCAUGCCUUUGUUUGUAAUUAUGGAGCACCCUAGCUUGAGUCAAACGAGCUCUACUUUUGCUAGAAAAUGUUCCUGGCAGAUUGUUGACAUGUUUAGCGAUUUUGCCGAGGAUGUUGCUAUUGACCCGUGCAUGCUAUGCUGUUGUUCUUGCAAUGACUAGCUUCUAUGCCAUGUCUUCUUGAUGCGUGUAUGCUUAGUUUGUCAUGCCAUGCUCUGUAGUGGGUGCAUCGAGCUCGUAAACAUGCCUACUCGUUAACUGUUUUGCAUGCUCCAGUUUUUCACUAAGUCUGAAUCUAUUUAUAUUUUUGCUAUGUUCACAUGCUUACAAAUGUAUUUUCUGAUCCCUUUUGGCUCAAGGUCACUAAGGGACUUUUGUUAUAUGCUUAGAGUAGAUUCAUGCCAUGCCUUGCUUUGCCAUGAUAUGUUCCUGUAGCAUGUAGUUUUCAUGCUCUAAAGAUUGCUUCCUGCUGAUAAAUUCCAGACGUGUUAAUUUCACUAAGUCUGAAACAUGUUAUUAUUUGCACUUUUGCCAUGCUUGUUUGAACCUAUUAAUGGAUGAAUUAGCCAUAGCUCAGUGUUCAUCUUUUGUUAAGCAUCAUGAGUGGAUCCCUGCCAUGUAUUUUGUUGUCAUGUUUGAGUGUUGUAGUAUAUUUAUCUUGAUGCAUUUAGAUGGCUACUUGAUGUUUAUCGCAGACCGGUGCCAUAUUUGUUUCGCUUGCCAUUUCCAAACGGUGCAUCCGAUUCCGGUGAUCUUUAUAUCGAUUUCAACCGAAAUCACCUCACCUUUCCAGUGGCACUCUUGGAUUUCCAUGUUGAGGCCAGGUUCAAUCAUUCUUUUGCAAAUCUUGCAUAUGCAUCACAUAUCGCAUCCCGCAUAGCAUACCAUGUUUGCAUCAUGUUGCUUGAGCAUUGCACGUGGUUGAUUGUGAUCCUUUUGCUUGUUGUUCUUGUUUGGGUAGAGCUGGGAGACGAGUUCGUGGACGAGGAGCCCGUUGAGUUUGCUUACGAGGAUCAAGGCAACUCUGAGUACUUUGCAGGCAAGAUGACCAUACCCUCGAAAUCACUUCUAUCUUUGCUUGCUAGAUGCUCGCUCUUUUGCUAUGCCUAUGCUACGAUACCUACUAGUUGCUUAUCAUGCCUCCCAAAUUGCCAUGUCAAACCUCUAACCCAUGAUGUCCUAGCAAACCGUUGUUUGGCUAUGUUACCGCUUUGCUUAGCCCCUCUUAUAGCGUUGCUAGUUGCAGGUGAAGAUUGGAGAUCGUUCCUUUUUGGAACAUGUUUAUGAUUGGGAUAUCACCAUAUUAUUUUGUUAUCUCAAUGCAUCUAUAUACUUGGUAAAGGGUGGAAGGCUCAGCCUUAUGCCUAGUGUUUUGUUCCACUCUUGCCGCCCUAGUUUCCGUCAUAUCGGUGUUAUGUUCCCGGAUUUUGCGUUCCUUACACGGUUGGGUUAUAAUGGGAACCCCUUGACAGUUCGCUUUGAAUAAAACUCCUCCAGCAAUGCCCAACCUUGGUUUUACUAUUUGCCACCUAGCCUCUUUUUCCCUUGGGUUUCCGGAGCCCAAGGGUCAUCUUUAUUUAAACCCCCCCCCCCCGGGCCAGUGCUCCUCUAAGUGUUGGUCCGCCUCGUCAGCCGUCGGUGGCCACCAGGGGCAACUCUGGGCUGGCCUACCGGAAGUUUGGACAAUCUGAGUGUGCCCUGAGAACGAGAUAUGUGCAGCUCCUAUCUGGAUUUGUCGGCACAUUCGGGCGGUGUUGCUGGACUUGUCUUACCAUUGUCGAGGAUGUCUUGUAACCGGGAUGCCGAGUCUGAUCGGAAUGUCUCGGGAGAAGGAAUAUCCUUCGUUGACCGUGAGAGCUUGUGAUGGGCUAAGUUGGGACUCCCCUGCAGGGAUUCGAACUUUCGAAAGCCGUGCCCGCGGUUAUGGGCAGAUGGGAAUUUGUUAAUGUCCGUUUGUGGAUAACAUGAAACUUAACUUAAUUAACAUACACCAACCGCGUGUGUUACCGUGAUGGUCUUUUCUCGGCGGAGUCCGGGAAGUGAACACGGUGUUGGAGUAAUGCUUGACGUAGGUUGUUCUAGGAUCACUUCUUGAUCAUAGUUGUUCGACCGUGCUUUUGCCUUCUCUUCUCGCUCUCUUUUGCGCAUAUGUUAGCCAUCAUAUAUGCUAGUCACUUGCUCCAGCUCCACAUCAUACCUUGCCUUACCUAUAAGCUUAAAUAGUCUUGAUCGCGAGGGUGUGAGAUUGCCGAGUCCCCGUGACUCACAUAUUCCUUCCUAAAACAGAUGCAGGGACCGAUGAUACCGCUCCAGACGAUGCGCUUGAGCUCAAGUGGGAGUUCGAUGAAGACUCUCGUCGUUACUAUGUGUCUUUCCCAGAUGAUCAGUAGUGGUGCCCAGUUGGGGCGAUCGGGGAAUUUGUCGCAUUUGGGGGUUUAUCUUUAUUUUAGUACCGUAGUCGGACCAUGAGUGUAUUGGAUGAAUGUAAUCUCAUUCAUGUAUUUGUGUGACGUGGCGAGUGUAAGCCAACUAUGUAUCUUUUCCCCUUUAAUUAUUUACACGAGUUGUUGUGAAGAUUACCUCACUUGCGACAUUGCUUUCAAUGCAGUUAUGCCUCUAAGUCGUGCUUCGACACGUAGGAGAUAUAGACGCAUCGAGGGCAUUACAUGAGGAGAUAUGGGAUCGGGGCGGUGUGUUUGGAUGGAGGGACCGGUGGAUCUCGUCUUGAUCAAACGGAUCUCGCCGAAGACGACGAAGAUGGCCGGAGCUCGAGACGGCGACGAGGAGGAGUGGCGGAGGCGGCAUCCGGCGACACGGGGUGCGGCGCAGCCAGCGCGGGAGGCGGCGGCCAAGGCUGGCGGCGGCNNNNNNNNNNNNNNNNNNNNNNNNNNNNNNNNNNNNNNNNNNNNNNNNNNNNNNNNNNNNNNNNNNNNNNNNNNNNNNNNNNNNNNNNNNNNNNNNNNNNNNNNNNNNNNNNNNNNNNNNNNNNNNNNNNNNNNNNNNNNNNNNNNNNNNNNNNNNNNNNNNNNNNNNNNNNNNNNNNNNNNNNNNNNNNNNNNNNNNNNNNNNNNNNNNNNNNNNNNNNNNNNNNNNNNNNNNNNNNNNNNNNNNNNNNNNNNNNNNNNNNNNNNNNNNNNNNNNNNNNNNNNNNNNNNNNNNNNNNNNNNNNNNNNNNNNNNNNNNNNNNNNNNNNNNNNCGAUCCGGCCCGGGACGGGCUCCUCAUGGGCCUGGCGGGCCACGGCGGAGGGAGGCGGCUGCGGGACACGUGGCGCGCCCUAAUUGGUGCGGAGGUGGCGGCGGCGCGGUAUGUCCGGCGGGAACCGGACGUGUCCGGCGGCGGAGAUGGGCGAUUUGCUAGGGUUAGGGUGGUUUUUGCCCGAAAUUUCGGGGGAGAGGGGUUUUAUAUAGGUAGAGGGAGGUAGGGGAGUCCAAAUGAGGUGCGAUUUUCGGCCACGUGAUCGUGAUCAAACGACCGAGAGGAUGGAGGGGGUUUAUAUGGGUUUUGGGCCACUUUGGAGGGGUGUUGGGCUUUAACACACACGAGGCCUUUACGGUUCCUCGGUUAUCCGUUGGAGUAUCAAACGAAGUCCAAAUGGUACGAAACUUGACAGGCGGUCUACCGUUGGUAUACCAAGGCCGUUUGGCAAGUCUCGGUCCAAUCCGAGAACAUUGAACACUCGCACACGAAAAGAGGCAAAAGGGGACGCCAGAGGACAUAGGAGUGUCGGAUCACAAAACGGACAACGGGGAAAAAGCUUGGAUGCAUGAGACAAACACAUAUGCAAAUGCGAUGCACAUGAUGACAUGAUAUGAGAUGCAUGACAUGGACAAAAAGCAAAACGAAGACAAAACCCAACCACGAGGGAAUAUCAUAACUUAGAGCCGAAAAUGGAAAGAGUUGGAAUACAAAUAUGGCAAGUUACAUACGGGGCGUUACAGUCUAGCCCUAGAGAUUGUUUCUUCUUACUUGUCCCUCUUGGGGAGCCCUGCCCCUCCUUAUAUAUGUUAGAGGGGCGGGUUACAUGUAGAGUCCUAUUAGGAUUAGGACUAGUCUACCUUCUAAUACUAACCGGAUACAAGUCCGGGUCUUGACUCCGUGUAAGGAAAAUAUUCCUCACGCCUUUCCUCUUAAACCAGCCCACCAUUAACAUAAACCGGCCUUUUGGGCCUUGGGCCUUGUCAUCCGUCUGUCCCGCCCGUCGGGUUACUAGUGAGUCAUAAUGUUCAGGCGGGUUGCAUGUAAACCGUCUGGUUAGGGCGGGUCACCAGUGAAUCGCCAAGUGUCAAUCGGGUUAUAUUUCCGGCUGGGUCAUACCGCGGGGUAUAUCCCCGAUAGCAACCCUACAUCGUAUCACUCACUCGUCGUAUAAAAUCAGCAACAUGAAAUGUUGCAGCCACGAAGGGUCAAUACUUUGAAUGUAUUGGCAAGUCACAUAGGGAAAUGAUAUAACAGACCAACUUAUAUAUGCAUGGUAUAUCAAGAGGAUAAUGUAGUGGUUGUUUUGCAGAAAGCUAGUUUUCCCUGAUAACUACAUAAUAUAAUAGUCAAAUUUUAAUUAUGUCUUGCUUUAGUUAAAUACAUAUGGCUGAAUUGGGAGCUCCAAUUCCAGCCUAUCCCAAUUAUUAAGUUUCCCACUUAAUUUUUUUAUUAAAGUUUAUUUGUCAAGAUCGUCCAACAACUGUGAUGACAUAGUCACUCAAAUUUGUCCAUAACCGGGGACAUGGCUAAUCAUGAUUAGUUUAUACACUCUCUCCAGAGGUUUGUACACUUUACCCACUGGACUCAACCCAAAGAUUGAGACAUAGUCUUUCAGAAGCAGUCGCCUAGUCCCACAGGACGCCCAUCCCAACUAUCAUAACUACAUCUGCUGGCACAUCUGGGUAAGGUCUCCACAUCUAAUCAACUAAGACAGAGCCCAUAUUAGCCAGUGGUUGUACAUGGAAGCUACUAGUCACUAAGUCUGUCUAAUAUUUUUGAGCCUGGACGUCACCCACUUACAUUCAGAGGGUAUAAACCAUGAUGUUCUUGAAACCACCCAGCAAUACCGUUCGGGCGCACUUAGCCAUGGUCCAUGCCCUUAGAAAGGGAACAAGAAACCAUGAUGCAUCCCUGUCCGUCCAGAGGUGAAUUAUAUAUUAUGUUUUUACUCAAGUUAUAUUAUAUGUAGUCCUCACAUAAUCUCGAUGAAUACACGAACCAAUCCCCGUCUACAUAGCAUAGCAAGAAUACACUACCACAUUCUACAAUAAGGCCAUACUAAAUGCAUCUCAAUAGAAAUAACAUGCUACCAUAAUUAUCCUACAACAAUGCAUAGUAUAGUAAUUGGAUAUAUAUAUAUAUAUAUAUAUAUAUAUAUAUAUAUAUAUAUAUAUAUAUAUAUAUAUAACUACAUGCAUAGAAAAAUAAUAGGUUGAAGUAUGAUCAAGGUGUAACUUGCCUGUAAGUUUGAUGAAGAUUGUCGCACUCACAAUCCUGAUAAUGCUACUCAUCAAGCUCCGAGAAAUCUAUCGUAAAUACAGAAUCCAGAUAAAUAACCAUUCCAUAUAGAAGAAUCAAAAGAACAACAAAACAAAUAUGGCAAGGUUAAACAAAAAUAAUACAUAUAGGCUUAAUAUAUAAUAUAGGUGUGCAUGGUGCUAUAAGGUGACAUGGUGAAGGAAAUGAACUCGAAAGAGUUAAUAGAUAUGGAAGGAUUUCUAUAUAGGAUUAUAUUUGAGACAAUAUGGAAUAGGCUCAAAAUUAUAUGGAACAAACAUGUUGUUGAGCAGAAAGCAUAUGAUAUAUGUGUUCAUUUGAAAAAAGAAAGAAUUAAAUAAGAGCACCACAAUCCAAGUUAUAGUGGAGCAAAGUUUGAAUUAAAUUUAAUUCAAAAUAGGUAAAAGAAUAUUCGAAUAUUGAGUGUACGGGAUAUGAGCAGCAAGUGUUUGGUACAAGUGUUCGUAGGCAAAAAGAAUCGGUUGGAAAGGUGUCACGGUUCACCUGAUAUGAUCAAAUGAAGUUUUGAAUUCAAAUUUGAAUUGCUCAAAUUUGAAAAGUUUGAACAAACGAAAUAUUUACUCUACAGGAUAGUAGAGGUCAUUGUGAUCAUGUAGGAAAAAGAAUCACUCGAUUUGGAUAUACGGAUCACUAGAUAUAGCUAAACGAAAUUGGGUUGAAAAUCUGUCAAAACAGAGUUUGAGCUGUUGCGGCUACUAUAGAUGUGGCCAUUUGUCGCGCUAGGAUUGGCAGAAGGGGGUUUGCGCGCGCGUGCUCACCGGAAGCAGGGGAAGAAGGCGGAGGGGUUCGAGUGUAGGCAGCGGGGCUUCUACAGAGAUGCAGAGAUGACGUGCGGUGAGGCAUGAUAUGGCAGUGGCUCUGGUGUAGACGGCAACGGCGAUUUCUUCAUCGGGCGGUGGUGGUGAUGCGCACGAAUUCGGGCGGGUUCUAGAGCUUUAGUUCUUGAUGCGUGUUCUCGAUCCGGUGCUCUGCUCAAGGGGAAAGUGGGUCAAGGCGACGCGGAGCAGAGGGAGGGAAGAGAAGGAGUAGUAGACGAUCGUGGGGGACCUUUGGUGGCGGAGAGUUUCAAAGGCGGCGGGAGCUUUGGGCAGCGGAGAUCGGAAAUCUUCGGGAGCUCGAUUUGGUGCGGUCCUGGGCAAAAACAAGGGGGGAGUGGUGCGUGAGUACAUGGGAAGUCUCGGUGAGGAUCGAGGCUUACUGGCAGCGGUGAAAUUCUUCGUUGGAGGAGCUUCGGGCAGCGGAGAUCCACCAAGUCGAGGAUCUCGAUUUGGAGCUCGGUUCCGCGAGGUGAGGAUGGGAAUCAAUCGAGGGGAGCCAAGGGAUUCGAUCUGUUUCAGGGCUUGUUCGGUUAAUCCUCCUUCCAAGAGGAUUGGAGGGGAUUGGCAAGGAUUGAGAUGUAUUUUGACUUAUAAGAGGUUUAAAUCUCCCUCAAACCCCUUCAAUCCCCUCGGAUCCACAUGCAACCGAACAAGGCCUCAACGGAUUUUGUCGAGGGGGUUCGGGAUUGCGCGGAUCAUGGAUUUGUUUUGGUUGUUGAGGUGCUGUCGUGAUGGGGAGGGAGGCCGAGCGGAGGUAGAAGAUGAGUAGUGCGCC